Molecule: long non-coding RNA, 626 nt
Organism: Mytilus californianus (California mussel)
Lineage: Eukaryota; Metazoa; Mollusca; Bivalvia; Mytilida; Mytilidae
Exons: 3
Source: RefSeq, a predicted model, not a curated record
CAGAAAAAUCAGAAGUAAAGAUGAUGAGUUCAAGAAUAUUCUCUGUUAUUGCUGUAAUCGGCAUGAUUUUCGUAUGCAGCAUCAGAGCUGAUGGCCUUUAUGAUAAUUAUUUGGGCAAUGUUCAUCUAGUACCUUUAGCAUACCCAGUUCCACACCCUAUCAGUGCUCCUCCUCAAGGACUCGGAAGUGUAGCAGGAAAUCGGUUAAAUUUACAAUCAGACCAGUCUCUUCUAAUUUUCCUAUUUUUGUUACCAGUUCUCUUCAGAAUUCUCAACAACGACUCAUCAUAAUGGACGAACGGCUCGGAUCGUCCUAAAUGACAUUUUAACAGCAAAUCAAUUCUUUGGAUCAAAGUUUGUGGCAGAUAUGAUAAUCUGAGUAGAAUUGUUAUACUGGUUUCCUGAUUUUUCUGAUUUAGUGAAGAAACAUUAUAGAGGUUACCAGGUUGUUGUGAUUUUGUAGAUUGAAGGAGCUGCAGUGAGUGAUUGACAUGGUAGUUAGUAUAAGUGACAAAAUGGUUUCUGAAGUGUAAAAAAAGAAGCAGCAGUAUAGGUAGUGAGAUUGACAUUACAACUUAGUCAAGCAAAGUCAUAUCUUAAAUAAUAAAUGCUGAUUUACCAAAAUUG